CUAGGGCCAGUCAACAAGAUUGAAAGAUGAAAGCCUAACUGAUAUAGCUCACCACUCGUAUGACAUGAGAGGUGGCAUCACUCUCAACAACAUUGUAUUCCCCGUGGACAUCCUCCUCCAAUGCUGGCGUCUGCUGACACCUUGGGAACUUCUUGUCAUCAAGAACCGGAGGAGAAUGAGGCACUGGAUGAAGACACUGCAAUGGUGAUGGUGGCCUUGCUACAACUGUUGGUGUUGACGGUAUGUACUCCAGUUUCCCCCGUUGGUACUGCUGGUGGCCAUGUAUCUUCUGUCCCAAGAGAGUCUCCAAUGCCGCAGGCCAUGACAUUGGCAGCAGCGUUGGUGGUACGAGUGGUGUUGUUAACGGUGAGGGCUCCCCUAGUGCUACUGUUGCUGCCAGUUUUGGAAAGAUGAU
Molecule: long non-coding RNA, 415 nt
Filed under: Setaria italica (foxtail millet)
Lineage: Eukaryota; Viridiplantae; Streptophyta; Magnoliopsida; Poales; Poaceae
Description: long non-coding RNA (SITA_LNC001287)
Source: RNAcentral